RNAcentral lists this ribosomal RNA (500 nucleotides) under uncultured bacterium. RNAcentral's name for it is "partial 16S ribosomal RNA". It matches the Rfam family "Bacterial small subunit ribosomal RNA", at positions 30 to 523 of the family's 1533-position model. The record is from RNAcentral.
AUUGAACGCUGGCGGCAUGCCUUACACAUGCAAGUCGAACGGCAGCACGGACUUCGGUCUGGUGGCGAGUGGCGAACGGGUGAGUAAUAUAUCGGAACGUAUCCAAUAAUGGGGGAUAACUAAUCGAAAGGUUGGCUAAUACCGCAUACGUCCUACGGGAGAAAGCUAGGGACCUUCGGGCCUGGCGUUAAUGGAGCGGCCGAUAUCGGAUUAGCUAGUUGGUGAGGUAAAGGCUCACCAAGGCGACGAUCCGUAGCUGGUCUGAGAGGACGACCAGCCACACUGGAACUGAGACACGGUCCAGACUCCUACGGGAGGCAGCAGUGGGGAAUUUUGGACAAUGGGCGAAAGCCUGAUCCAGCCAUUCCGCGUGAGUGAAGAAGGCCUUCGGGUUGUAAAGCUCUUUCGCAAGAGAAGAAAACUUACCCUCUAACAUAGGGUGAGGUUGACGGUAUCUUGAUAAGAAGCACCGGCUAACUACGUGCCAGCAGCCGCAGUAA